GUGUCAGACUAUCUGAAUUUUUAAUUCAAUGAUGAAAGAUUUUUGGGUACAAUCAAGUACUUGUUAAGUCGGUGUGUGAGUCUAGAUGGGAUUGACCCCUCCGAAUUAUAGGAAUAAAUGCAUCAGUAUAUUAUAAUUUAGUAAAAUCUUGACUAGAAUAAUUCAUGUGAUGGAUUUGAAAGAUUGAGAUACAAUAUGGUUGACUAUUCCAGGAUUGACAUUAAACCCUAGGUCACCUUGAGCAUUAGGAUCAAAAGGAUGAAUUAUAUGGUAACCA
This 277-nucleotide long non-coding RNA is filed under the name Elaeis guineensis (African oil palm). RNAcentral describes it as "long non-coding RNA (EGUI_LNC053671)". Lineage: Eukaryota; Viridiplantae; Streptophyta; Magnoliopsida; Arecales; Arecaceae. The record is from RNAcentral.